Molecule: long non-coding RNA, 1785 nt
Organism: Asparagus officinalis (garden asparagus)
Lineage: Eukaryota; Viridiplantae; Streptophyta; Magnoliopsida; Asparagales; Asparagaceae
Exons: 3
Source: RefSeq, a predicted model, not a curated record
GCGCUGCCGGAUACUGCAGAAGGGGUUCUCAGGCUGGCCCUUCCACUGGUGACAUUGCCAGAAGACAGUAUUCCUUGUUCUGCUAUGAAGGUUGAACAGUGCAUGGACAUCAUCAACUCUCCCCUCCUCAACUCCUUGAAGCUCCGACCUCGCCAAUGAUCUAAAGACCUCUCUGUCCUCCUCUCUUUUCCCCUCAGCCAUCAUCAACUGCUCUUCACCACUCCUCACUGCCCUCCCAUCGCCCACCAUCACCUCACUAACUUAUCCCCCUCCAUCAGGUUGAUCUAAGACGCAUACAUCCUAAGCUGAAGAAUAUGAACCGGUUGCGUUCAGAACAUCUAGUUUACGAACUUUAAGAUUCACAUCCUCUUUUGGAUGGAGUAAGAUGUGCCUUCGAAUAUAUUUCAAUUGGACAAAAGAGAGGUUGAUGAUCCCUGCCCGUACCUUCUAGCUAUAUGGACCCCAGGUAAGCACAUUAGUUGUGGCUGGAAAUGACACUAUAGGUGAAACUGCUCAAUUGAUUGAGCCCUCAACUGCAUGCUGCAACACCCAGAACAGCAGUAAAUUAUGUCAAAGGAAUACAUGGCUUUAGUUGCAAUAACAUAUGAGAAGUACAAGCUCAGACGGUCAGCUUGCAUGCGGUGAUUGACAGGGAACCGGUGAAGGGUAGGCAAUCAUUGACUCCAUCACUGAAGGGUGGAUUGGGCUUUUCCCUAGUGUUCCAGGAGUUGGGUGUUGAUUUGGGUGCUUAAUGAUGACCAAUUGGGCUCUUGUUGUUGGUUUUGGAUCGUGGAUGACAUUAUUCUGCUGGAGAACAGUAAUUUUUUUGAAGAGUAGGAGAAGCCAAGGAGAAUAAGGGAGUUUUAUCAAAGCAGAAAGGUUGAGUUGGUGACAUGUAAGAGGGAGGAUAUAUCUUAAACAAGAAAGCUAUUAUGAGUAACUGUAAAAAGACUAGUAAGAUGGUGGGGAUAUCCAAACAUCUGAGUGGUGGUGACAACAGUCAUAUUCUGUGAAUUAACAAACUGGCCUCUAUCAGAACGUAUUCAAAGUCCUUUUUCACUGAGUACUUCAAACUAUGCUCAACUACUUGUUCCUCAAGUGUUACUUCGAGUUUCCAGCUGGAAAUGUUCCUAUCCUGAAGAACCCUCGUGCCUUCUCUAUUCUCGUUAUGGUAUACGCAGGGCCCAAUUGCAAAUUGACCAUCCUGUUGGAACUUUCACAUACAGCUCUUCAAUUCUUCCUCCAACCUUCUGUUAACUUUCACAUAUACAGCCAAUAAUGGGAUCUUCAGUAACCUGAAAAGUCGUGAAAACUUUCAAACGACUUCUUAAUCAGAUGGAAAUAUUUUGAAGCAGAGAAAUCAGAUACCACUUCAACCGUCGGGCAAGUUCUUUCUAGUACUUGACUUUUCCCAGAUAAAAGUAUGAAUGAGCUUCUACUACGGGCCAGUCUUUCAUGAUGAUCCAACUUUUUGAUCUGAAGACCUCUUACUUGAGAGAAUUCAACUUGAAACUCAAGGAUUUGAGAAUCCAAGGUGUCUGUUUGUGGCAAUAGAAGUACAGGGGGCUUUUCUACAAUUUGGUGAUAGUACGUGCAUGAGAUCUUUCGAUGAUGCCUUGUAAGUCUCAGUGGGAAAUUUCCUUCUUUUUUCCCUGAUGCCUUGAAAGUCUCAUAUAAUAGAUACGACUUCUUUUUGUGCCAUCUCGGAUAAUUGUGGUGUGCAAGAUUCUAUUUAUUCUUCAGGAAAGCAAUAAUCAAACCUCCUGAUUCUUGAAGUAGAUUUCA